This 524-nucleotide unclassified non-coding RNA is filed under the name Ixodes scapularis (black-legged tick). RNAcentral describes it as "uncharacterized LOC115320861, transcript variant X1". The record is from RNAcentral. Lineage: Eukaryota; Metazoa; Arthropoda; Arachnida; Ixodida; Ixodidae.
GGAGCACCAACUUCCUCACCACGGCUUGGUUCUUGGAACAGUACCUGAAGGCGUCCAAGGCAGGGUCCUACGAACUGGACGAUGCCUCCUUUCACCUGGCUGACCUCGCAGACUUGGAUGUACAACCUGCUGUGCCCACCGACAUUUUUCUUGAGGAGGUAGAACUCACCAUGUCACAACCUGAGGAGAAUAGCUUUGACUAUUACGCGGAGGCACGAGACCCAUGUCCCCUCCAUGGUCAUCGGUUGCAGCUUUUGGGUCUGUCUCAUUUUAUUUCAUUGUAGUUGCAGACUUAAUUAUUGUCAGGUAUCUGUGUGUUUGUUCGUUUGCAGUAGACCUAACUGCCGCCAUUUCCUUUCCGUGAGUUAGUUUUUGUCAGACGCUCGUACUCAGUGUAACAGGUGCAAGGGCUGGGUUUUGUUGCUGUGUCCAGGAUGUUGCAAGGAGACUGCUGGCCAAUGGACUUCUUCCAAAACCGACGCGCCCCAUUGCGGCGAAAUACCAUGCAGUGCAUUCUGGGAACU